This is a regulatory RNA element of Pontibacillus marinus BH030004 = DSM 16465, 121 nucleotides long. It matches the Rfam family "PyrR binding site". Rfam says of the family: This family represents the PyrR binding site and terminator structure. This RNA structure is found upstream of a variety of genes involved in pyrimidine biosynthesis and transport. NCBI's taxonomy places the organism in Bacteria, Bacillati, Bacillota, Bacilli, Caryophanales, Bacillaceae. The record is from Rfam.
UGACCCUUUAACUUAGUCCCGUGAGGCUAACAAGGAAUGCGGAUGAAUAUACAACUAUGUCUUUUAUAGACUUCGUAUAUCCAAAAUCCCCUUGUCUCUCAUGGCAAGGGGAUUUUUUUGU